RNAcentral lists this transfer RNA (69 nucleotides) under Ictidomys tridecemlineatus (thirteen-lined ground squirrel). RNAcentral describes it as "Spermophilus tridecemlineatus (thirteen-lined ground squirrel) tRNA". It matches the Rfam family "tRNA". From Rfam's summary of the family: Transfer RNA (tRNA) molecules are approximately 80 nucleotides in length. Their secondary structure includes four short double-helical elements and three loops (D, anti-codon, and T loops). Lineage: Eukaryota; Metazoa; Chordata; Mammalia; Rodentia; Sciuridae. The record is from Rfam by way of RNAcentral.
GGGGUUGUGGCUCAGUGGUAGAGCACUUGCCUGGCAUGUGUGAGGCCCCGGGUUCAAAUCUCAGCACCG